This 71-nucleotide non-coding RNA is filed under the name unclassified sequences. The record is from Rfam.
GAAACGCGAACCAAGCAGCCACACGCCAGUGGCGUAAGACUUGGAGCUGGUCUCGGCAACGAGACCACGCA